AUUGAACGCUGGCGGCAUGCCUUACACAUGCAAGUCGAACGGUAACGCGGGGCAACCUGGCGACGAGUGGCGCACGGGUGAGUAAUGCAUCGGAACGUGCCCAGAAGUGGGGGAUAGCCCGGCGAAAGCCGGAUUAAUACCGCAUGAGACCUGAGGGUGAAAGCGGGGGAUCGCAAGACCUCGCGCUUUUGGUGCGGCCGAUGUUAGAUUAGCUGGUUGGUGGGGUAAAGGCCUACCAAGGCGACGAUCUGUAGCUGGUCUGGGGGGACGACCAGCCACACUGAGACUGAGACACGGCCCAGACUCCUACGGGAGGCAGCAGUGGGGAAUUUUGGACAAUGGGCGCAAGCCUGAUCCAGCCAGGCCGCGUGCGGGAAGAAGGCCUUCGGGUUGUAAACCGCUUUUGUCAGGGAAGAAACGCUCUGGGCUAAUACCCUGGGGUAAUGACGUUACCUGUAGAAUAAGCACCGGCAAACUACGU
RNAcentral lists this ribosomal RNA (481 nucleotides) under uncultured bacterium. Its description in RNAcentral is "partial 16S ribosomal RNA". It matches the Rfam family "Bacterial small subunit ribosomal RNA", at positions 29 to 506 of the family's 1533-position model. The record is from RNAcentral.